This 512-nucleotide unclassified non-coding RNA is filed under the name Hevea brasiliensis (rubber tree). Lineage: Eukaryota; Viridiplantae; Streptophyta; Magnoliopsida; Malpighiales; Euphorbiaceae. The record is from RNAcentral.
UAAGAUUCCUUUUCCUAUCCAUUCAAAUAUUUAAUGAUUGUUGAUAUUUUGAAGGGUGGCUUCACAGCUUACUUCAUGGAUAGAGUUCCAAACACAGAAACAAGUAGAGUUUCUUAGUCAAAACAACACUUGUUUUAUCCUUAAAAACACAGUUACACCUCAACAAAUAUAGGUUGAGGGUUGUUCCACCAACCAACAUCAUCUUUGCUUUUCAACUCUUUUGUCUUUUUCUUAUAUUUUCUUUUAAUCCCGCUUAUUCCUUUCCCACUUUCAGAGUCUGAAUGUCAAAAUGAAAUCAAUCUUUUUUCAACUCAAUUAUGAAGCUUUUCUUACCCUAAUCAAACCCUUAAUUACAUUCUAUGUGUUAGCCUUUUUAGUUACUGUUUUUCCACAUGGUUUGAAUUCUAGUAGAUUUGUCAGCUCUUGUACAUGUGCCUUCAGUUUGCUUCCUCAUCAGUGGGUUCCAUGAAUGACAAUUAUUUGCAGGCCUGGUCAAAUUUUGCUAUUGUGUG